This 255-nucleotide ribosomal RNA is filed under the name uncultured bacterium. RNAcentral describes it as "partial 16S ribosomal RNA". It matches the Rfam family "Bacterial small subunit ribosomal RNA", at positions 524 to 777 of the family's 1533-position model. The record is from RNAcentral.
UACGUAGGGGGCUAGCGUUGUCCGGAAUCAUUGGGCGUAAAGCGCGCGUAGGCGGCCAGAUAAGUCCGGUGUGAAAGUCACAGGCUCAACCUGUGAAUGCCGCUGGAAACUGUCUGGCUCGAGUCCGGGAGGGGCGAGUGGAAGUUCCUGGUGUAGCGGUGAAAUGCAUAGAUAGCUUCCAGAACCCCGAUUGCGUAGGCAGCUGACUAGGCUGGUACUGACACUGAGGCACGAAAGCGUGGGGAGCGAACAAGG